GGAAAGGUGUGACAACUGGAAGCAGUUGUGUGCCAUGUGUGGAUGUGCACCAAGAGAGAUGAAGCCAUAUCUUCUACAACUCUUCAGUUUUUGAAAUUCAGAAGUUUCAAGAUUACGUUGACUGAAGUAGAUCAUAUUUGGCAAAGCUGUAGGUGACAGGGAAAGUUAAUCAACUGGAAGGAAAUGGAAGGGAAGAAUGUGGUCUACCUCUUCUCUCUCUACUUGAAAUUCAAGCAAGACCUUGGAGAAUACAGGUGGAGCUGGACCUGCAACCGGUGAUUGAACUACCAGUUUCUGAAGGCCACCCAUUCACACCUAUUUCCCGCUACUCCAGGUAAGACACUCACGGCAGGCAGUCUCCCGGGAAACAGAAGUCUCUAUUUGUUACCAUCAUCGUCUGGCUCAUGAUCCUAAUGAGGACCAAGAUUCCUGUGGGAUCAAGUUCCCCUCUGAGGAUUCUUGAGAGCCGCCUUCCUGAAUCCUCACAAACACCUUCCUACCUACUUCCUUCCAUUAACAAUUACCUUUCCAUCUUUAUUUUUUUGCCUACGACAAGCACCCUUAACACACUCAUACCUGUUUCACCUUUCUUCCGUAAUAACCUAGAUUUUAUUUUCAUGUUGAGGAAAAACACUAUUUUCCACUAGGCUAUCUGCAGCUGGAGGAGGCCGUGAGUCACCGUUUUGAGCCUAGAGAUGUAAACAGAAGUUGCUGGGAAGAGCUUCUAGGAAGCCUCUGUAAGAUGAUUAUCUCAGUUGGGUCUGUCUUUUUGCUUUGUCCAUCCCUUUUUUAACUUUGGAGUGUGCGUGUGAUACAGGAGGUGAAGCAGUCAUUUUGUGACUAUGAGGAGAUAAAGCCACAUGGGUAAGUUGGCAGAGCAGGACACUGGGAGAAGCAUGUGCUUCUGUUGGCAAUGAGGGAUCAUCAUACUAUUCCUAAACAGUCUAAGUCCUGAGGUCUCGUGUGUGUUCUUACUUGUUCAUUACUCUACUUUUUCAGGUUGUAUAUUACUUACAGUUCAAUACAAUCUAAACCUUAACCAGUCAUUCUCCUAGUUAGACUGUGAGCUCCUAGAGGGAAGUUUGGCAUGUGAUAUGUUUCUUAUGGUCCCUGCAGUAUCUAGCACGUGCUAGUAGGGAUCAGGUAUGCAAUACUCAUCUAUUGAUUGAUUUGGGAUACAGUGAGUUGAGGUAAGAGAGAAACAGAAGUCAACUCCAACACGUCAAAGAAUAAAGUUUGCUGUUGGUCUCAACAGCCCCAGGGCAUCUUUACUGCAGUGUGAUCUCUCUCUCCUAUCCAGUGAGGCUCCAAAAUAUGGCUUUAAUUAUCCUUCCUAAGUUUUACAAAAUUCACUGAGCUUUUGUCUUUAAAACAGUAUUCCUUCCCCAUCUCUGGUGUGAAAAAAAAAUUACGACCAGAGUUUUACAUCUUUUUCUUUCCGAUAUUUCCAGAAAAGUAUGCCCUAGUCUAAUUUGCAGGUGGAAAUUGAAAAUGUAUCUCGCUGACCUCAAGGGAUGAUAUUCAGGAGCUUCAGGGAAUCUUCAGCUAAUGGGAGAAGCACAAGCAGAUUAAUGGAUCCCAAAGACAAAAUGCCUAUCCUAGCUCAAAUGACAUCUCGUGGAUCUUGAAAAGUGGAGCUUUCUGUGCCCAUCUUCAGAAAGAGACAUCAGACAAUCUUAACAUUUCUGCAGCUGAACAUGGGAUGAGAAGAGGGCAAUCUUCCAGUGGGUCCACCACAUUUUCUUUCCAAUUGAGCCAAUUCAUGGUCUCUUCUGGCAACUGCAAGGCCAGAUGUGAAUUUACCACUUUAUUGAGUGAAGCGGUCUGGGCAUUGUGAGACUCACAUAUGCACCCAGAGGGGAAGGGACCCUCACUCUGGGAAUGGAAAUCAAUUCAUAAUUGUACCCAGACAAAUGGGGCACACACUUCAGAUCUAUUACAGGAUUUAGUCGGAAUCAGAAGAACAAAGGCAUAAAGUAGAAACACAUUCAUAUGCCAGGCACAGGUAGGGGCUGGGGAGGGUAGAAAGUCCAGGGUUCCUGGCCGGCGAAGAAGGGCUCUGCUCAGCAUCUCAUGCUGGAGUGCAAGAGUAUAAAAUAAGGUAACUAAGGACAUGAAGCUUGGCCGCCUGCACCAUUUGAAAAAAGAAAAAUCAAACUGUGUUUUAUGAGUUUUUCUGGCUGAGUGGGCUGAUGGUAAAAGUGAUUGCAUAAGUGAAUAAAUUGAAAUAUGUAUCCUGGUUGUGUCAAAAGCAAAAAUAAUUAUUUUGUUCUUGGUGAGAUAUAGUGUUUAACUGCCAACACAUCAACCCAAAUAAAAAGGAAAUCUGCCUUUAGAUCUAGUAAUACAUUUAUUAACAAAUGAUGUAUCUGAAUUAUCCAUCGUUUUGAUCCACAUUUUGCAGAAAGGCA
This 2411-nucleotide long non-coding RNA is filed under the name Homo sapiens (human). RNAcentral describes it as "HSALNT0197189". The record is from RNAcentral. Lineage: Eukaryota; Metazoa; Chordata; Mammalia; Primates; Hominidae.